This is a non-coding RNA of Talpa occidentalis (Iberian mole), 1002 nucleotides long. NCBI's taxonomy places the organism in Eukaryota, Metazoa, Chordata, Mammalia, Eulipotyphla, Talpidae. The record is from the annotation of a RefSeq genome assembly.
AUGCCUCUCCUGGAAGCUGUCAUCUUCUCUUCCCUCUGGGCUUUUGGUGUUGGACAGUUGUUGGAGCAGCCUAAAAUGUUAGUUUCCAAGAUAAAAGAAAAGAGUUCCCGCAUAACUUGUAAGGUGUACAUCAGCGAUCAGUAUGACUUUAACAAUGAUUACAUACACUGGUACCGACAGAAGCCUAACCAGAAUAUAGAACAUCUAACAUAUGUUGUAUCUACAACAAAACCCACUCAGGAGAAAAUAGGUUCGAAGAUCAAACUUGAAGCAAGUAAAGACUCUUCCACUUCCACUUCCACUUUGCAAAUUAAUUUCUUAGAGAAAGAAGAUGAAGCCACGUACUACUAUGCCAGCUACACCUAUUCAUUUACAUAUUUAAUUCUUUUCAAUUGCUAUUCAAUUUUUCCCACAGAUAGAGACCUUGAUGCAGAUUUUUCACCCACGGCUACAGUUAUACUUCCUUCAAUGGCUGAAAUAAACCUCCAUAAGGCUGGAACAUAUAUUUGUCUUCUUGAGAAAUUUUUCCCUGAUGUUGUUAAGAUAAGUUGGAAAGAAAAGAAUGGUGCUGCAAUUCUGGAAUCACAGGAGGGAAAUACUACCAAGACUGGAGACACAUACAUGAAGUUCAGCUGGCUGACGGUGCCUGAAAUGUCUAUGGAUAAAGACCACAUUUGUGUUGUCGAACACGAGUUUACCACAAGGAUUAAUCAAAACAUUCUCUUUCCUUCAAUAAAGAAAGUCAUGGAAUAUUUUUUGAACACCUACACUGAGACAACCACCAUGCUAGGAGGUCUGAAUCCAAGAGGAAAAGAAGAUGGUCUUGAGUACAUCGCCCCUGCUGUGAUAACAGGUGAAAGCAGGUCACUGAAGCUGCAGCUCACCCACUCCUCUGCCUAUUACACCUACAUCCUCCUUCUCAAGAGCGUGGUCUACUUUGCCAUCAUCGCCUUCAGUCUGUUCAGGACACCAGGAGUUUGCUGCAAUGGGAAGAUUCCCUAA